This 765-nucleotide ribosomal RNA is filed under the name Bacillus sp. U0943. RNAcentral describes it as "bacterial SSU rRNA". It matches the Rfam family "Bacterial small subunit ribosomal RNA", at positions 61 to 809 of the family's 1533-position model. The record is from RNAcentral. Lineage: Bacteria; Bacillati; Bacillota; Bacilli; Caryophanales; Bacillaceae.
GUCGAGCGGACAGAAGGGAGCUUGCUCCCGGAUGUUAGCGGCGGACGGGUGAGUAACACGUGGGUAACCUGCCUGUAAGACUGGGAUAACUCCGGGAAACCGGAGCUAAUACCGGAUAGUUCCUUGAACCGCAUGGUUCAAGGAUGAAAGACGGUUUCGGCUGUCACUUACAGAUGGACCCGCGGCGCAUUAGCUAGUUGGUGAGGUAACGGCUCACCAAGGCGACGAUGCGUAGCCGACCUGAGAGGGUGAUCGGCCACACUGGGACUGAGACACGGCCCAGACUCCUACGGGAGGCAGCAGUAGGGAAUCUUCCGCAAUGGACGAAAGUCUGACGGAGCAACGCCGCGUGAGUGAUGAAGGUUUUCGGAUCGUAAAGCUCUGUUGUUAGGGAAGAACAAGUGCAAGAGUAACUGCUUGCACCUUGACGGUACCUAACCAGAAAGCCACGGCUAACUACGUGCCAGCAGCCGCGGUAAUACGUAGGUGGCAAGCGUUGUCCGGAAUUAUUGGGCGUAAAGGGCUCGCAGGCGGUUUCUUAAGUCUGAUGUGAAAGCCCCCGGCUCAACCGGGGAGGGUCAUUGGAAACUGGGAAACUUGAGUGCAGAAGAGGAGAGUGGAAUUCCACGUGUAGCGGUGAAAUGCGUAGAGAUGUGGAGGAACACCAGUGGCGAAGGCGACUCUCUGGUCUGUAACUGACGCUGAGGAGCGAAAGCGUGGGGAGCGAACAGGAUUAGAUACCCUGGUAGUCCACGCCGUAAACGA